CGGGCUCGCCUCCCCGCACACCCCUCCCAGCCCUAUGCGCGUCCGCGUCGCCCCAGCUGCCAAUACGUCCUCCCCGCAGCGCCCUCGGCCUGCCUCCCGCUUGGGAGCAGCUCUCCAGCCUCACCUGCACCCAUCACCCAGCGUCCUACUGCCACCUCUUGCUCUAGCUGUCAUGCAUGCGUCUUCCAUGCUUUCCCCGAGUCCUGAUGUCAAGAGAGACCCCAGAUCCCUACAGGCGCUCCCCAACACUCCUGGAGAACCCCAGCUUGGGCAAUUCUAUCCAGACACCUGGAGGGCAGCGCCCAAACUGCUGCACUCUUGGUGACAAGGACUUGUUCGGAACUGAACUGGCCUAGAAAGGGUAGGAGAUUGGAUGCUGCCUUCACUCAACACAGAAGAACUUCAGUCCUUUCAAGGCCACCCUCUCCACCAGCUUUGCCAGCAGAACUCCCAGACGACCAGCACCUUCUGCCCCCACACUGUGCACACAGUCAGUGUUUUCUCAGGUAUUUGGAGGAAGCCACAGACACAGCCUUGGCUGUAACAGGAACCUAAGUCGUUUACAAUACUCUCCAACAUCUAUGAUUUUUUUUUCUGUUGUUGUUGUUCUAUUUUUGACUCCAGAAUAAUCCCAGCACCUGUUCUGUCUGUUGAAAUAAAGCAUCCAUCUUGCUCCAA
Molecule: long non-coding RNA, 678 nt
Organism: Rattus rattus (black rat)
Lineage: Eukaryota; Metazoa; Chordata; Mammalia; Rodentia; Muridae
Exons: 2
Source: RefSeq, a predicted model, not a curated record